GCCUACGGCCAUACCCAGUUGAAAGCACCGGAACUCGUCUGAUCUCCGAAGUUAAGCAACUGUGGGCCUGGUUUGUUUCCCAUAUGGGUGACCGCCUCGAGAUUUCUGCAUUAGAAA
RNAcentral lists this ribosomal RNA (117 nucleotides) under Hofstenia miamia. Lineage: Eukaryota; Metazoa; Xenacoelomorpha; Acoela; Hofsteniidae. The record is from RNAcentral.